UCAAACUUGGUCAUUUAGAGGAAGUAAAAGUCGUAACAAGGUCUCCGUUGGUGAACCAGCGGAGGGAUCAUUACAGAGUUUUCUAAACUCCCAAACCUUUGUGAACUUACCACUGUUGCCUCGGCGGAAGCUAUUGGGGUUACCCUGUAGCGACCGCCGGUGGACCAACCCAACUCUUGUAAUUUUGAGAAAUCUGAGAGUCUUAUACAAAUAAGUCAAAACUUUCAACAACGGAUCUCUUGGUUCUGGCAUCGAUGAAGAACGCAGC
Molecule: unclassified non-coding RNA, 268 nt
Filed under: uncultured fungus
Lineage: Eukaryota; Fungi
Description: partial contains small subunit ribosomal RNA, internal transcribed spacer 1, and 5.8S ribosomal RNA
Rfam family: Eukaryotic small subunit ribosomal RNA (bases 1-73)
Source: RNAcentral